GGAUUAUGAGGGGAGCUUGCUAUGCGUUGGGAAUUUGUUGAUGUCUUGGAGUCCUAAGAAAUUUUCAGAAAUUACGCCUGAGAGCCUAUCUAUCUUCCAGAUUGUGCGGCCUAUUCCAGAAAUUCUAUUACUUGGCUGUGGGAGAUAUACUGAACCAGUAAAUCCUGAAUUGAGGCAGUUUAUCCGUUCCACUGGCAUGAAGUUGGAAGCUGUAGACACGAG
This 222-nucleotide unclassified non-coding RNA is filed under the name Hevea brasiliensis (rubber tree). Lineage: Eukaryota; Viridiplantae; Streptophyta; Magnoliopsida; Malpighiales; Euphorbiaceae. The record is from RNAcentral.